Molecule: ribosomal RNA, 365 nt
Filed under: uncultured eukaryote
Lineage: Eukaryota
Description: partial 18S ribosomal RNA
Rfam family: Eukaryotic small subunit ribosomal RNA
Source: RNAcentral
CAAUAGCGUAUAUUUAAGUUGUUGCAGUUAAAAAGCUCGGAGUCGGAUUUUGGCUGAGAACGAACGGUCCGCCGUUAGGUGUGCACUGUUUGGUCUCAGCUUCCUGGUGAGGAGGUGUGCUUCACGGCCACUUAGUCACCGUGGUUACUUUGAAAAAAUUAGAGUGUUCAAAGCGGGCUUACGCUUGAAUAUAUUAGCAUGGAAUAACACCAUAGGACUCCUGUCCUAUUUCGUUGGUCUCGGGACGGGAGUAAUGAUUAAGAGGAACAGUUGGGGGCAUUCGUAUUUCAUUGUCAGAGGUGAAAUUCUUGGAUUUAUGAAAGACGAACUUCUGCGAAAGCAUUUGCCAAGGAUGUUUUCAUUGA